Molecule: ribosomal RNA, 254 nt
Filed under: uncultured bacterium
Lineage: Bacteria
Description: partial 16S ribosomal RNA
Rfam family: Bacterial small subunit ribosomal RNA
Source: RNAcentral
UACGGGGGGAGCAAGCGCUGUUCGGAUUUACUGGGCGUAAAGGGCGCGUAGGCGGUCGUGACAAGUCACUUGUGAAAUCUCCGGGCUUAACUCGGAACGGUCAAGUGAUACUGUCGGACUAGAGUACAGAAGGGGCAACUGGAAUUCUCGGUGUAGCGGUGAAAUGCGUAGAUAUCGAGAGGAACACCUGCGGCGAAGGCGGGUUGCUGGGCUGAUACUGACGCUGAGGCGCGAAAGCCAGGGGAGCGAACGGG